This 493-nucleotide ribosomal RNA is filed under the name uncultured bacterium. RNAcentral's name for it is "partial 16S ribosomal RNA". It matches the Rfam family "Bacterial small subunit ribosomal RNA", at positions 30 to 523 of the family's 1533-position model. The record is from RNAcentral.
AUUGAACGCUGGCGGCACGCUUUACACAUGCAAGUCGAACGGUAACAGGUUAAGCUGACGAGUGGCGAACGGGUGAGUAAUGCAUCGGAACGUGCCCGGUCGUGGGGGAUAACACUUCGAAAGAAGUGCUAAUACCGCAUACGAUCUAAGGAUGAAAGCGGGGGACCGUAAGGCCUCGCGCGAUCGGAGCGGCCGAUGUCAGAUUAGGUAGUUGGUGGGGUAAAGGCCUACCAAGCCGACGAUCUGUAGCUGGUCUGAGAGGACAACCAGCCACACUGGGACUGAGAAACGGCCCAGACGCCGUCGGGAGGAAGCAGUGGGGAAUUUUGGAAAAUGGGCGCAAGCCUGAUCCAGCAAUGCCGCGUGCAGGAUGAAGGCCUUCGGGUUGUAAACUGCUUUUGUACGGAACGAAAAGGUUUGGCCUAAUAAGCUGAGCUCAUGACGGUACCGUAAGAAUAAGCACCGGCUAACUACGUGCCAGCAGCCGCCGUAA